This 495-nucleotide ribosomal RNA is filed under the name uncultured bacterium. RNAcentral's name for it is "partial 16S ribosomal RNA". It matches the Rfam family "Bacterial small subunit ribosomal RNA", at positions 28 to 507 of the family's 1533-position model. The record is from RNAcentral.
GACGAACGCUGGCGGCGUGCCUAAUACAUGCAAGUAGAACGCUGAAGGAGGAGCUUGCUUCUCUGGAUGAGUUGCGAACGGGUGAGUAACGCGUAGGUAACCUGCCUGGUAGCGGGGGAUAACUAUUGGAAACGAUAGCUAAUACCGCAUAAGAGUAGAUGUUGCAUGACAUUUGCUUAAAAGGUGCAAUUGCAUCACUACCAGAUGGACCUGCGUUGUAUUAGCUAGUUGGUGGGGUAACGGCUCACCAAGGCGACGAUACAUAGCCGACCUGAGAGGGUGAUCGGCCACACUGGGACUGAGACACGGCCCAGACUCCUACGGGAGGCAGCAGUAGGGAAUCUUCGGCAAUGGACGGAAGUCUGACCGAGCAACGCCGCGUGAGGGAAGAAGGUUUUCGGAUCGUAAAGCUCUGUUGUAAGAGAAGAACGAGUGUGAGAGUGGAAAGUUCACACUGUAACGGUAUCUUACCAGAAAGGGACGGCUAACUACGUG